AUUGCUGCUCCGGAUAGGGCUAGAGGCUCGCCAUUGUUCCUGCGCAGCUACGUGCCCAGGUUAGUCCUAAUUGAGCCGAACACUAGACGCUGGGUUCCACAGUUCUCUUCAGUGACCCACGGCUUCUAAUAGAGCUAUAACACUCACCGCACGGCCCAAGGUUCCAUUCCUUGGAAUCCCUGAGGCCAAGAACCUCAGGUCAGAGAGCAAGAGGCUUGCCACCAUCUUGGGAGCUCUGGGAGCAGAGACCUGCAGAAGUGGCAGUGCUCCUUUUGCCUAGAAUUAAGAUGAUGCAGCUGAGACAUCCUUCCUGACAGCCAAGCAGGCUAUUCAGCAGGGCCAAGCCUUACAGAAAGACACCCAUAUUGUAAGGACACUCAAAUAUCCCAAUGGGGAGGUCCAUGUGGUGAAGAACAGAAGUCUGCAUAUAGACAGAAAAGAACUGUGGCCUGUAGCCCAUAGCAAUAUGAGUGACUCACCUAGGAAGUGGUUUCUUCUGCUGCAACAAAGCCUUCUGUUAACUGUAGCGCUGCCUGACAUCUUUACUGCACCUUCAUGAGCUCCUGAGUCAGAACCAUCCAGCUAAAUUCCUGAACCACACAAACUGGUAAAAUCAUUUUCUGAACCAGACAAACUGGGGGAGCAUCAAUACUUAUCUUCCAACCUGCUAAAAUUUGGAGUAAUUUCUUAUAUAGCAAUAGUUAACUAAGACAGAUUUUGGGACAGAGAAUGUCAUGCUGCUGUAACAUAAACCUCAAAUAUGUGCUGGUAUUUAAACUAGGGAGUGAUUGGAAGCUGGAAAACUUCAAACAACUGUGAGUGAAAACAGAGGAGCUUUUAAUAAAUGGUUUGUAAUAACAGGGUGACAUUUGGGGAGGCUGCUAAAGGGGAAACUGUGACUUAAAAUACCAAGAAACAAAUAGAUUAAAGUUCCCCCUUGGAAAUCCAGACACCUGAAGAGAUUUGAGAGAAAGUCCUAAUUGUAGCUAGAAUCAGAUCGGUGAGUUUCAUCUCUACCCAAUCAAUACAAUUCACAGCUAUAACUAAAUAUUUCUUCUCUUACAGUGCUCUAGUUCCUACUUGGUAUAAAUAUUUGUCUGUGAAGCACAAUGAUUUAAAUGUGUCCCCUAAAUUUUAUAUGUUGGAAAUUUAAUCCCCAAGGCAACAGUUUUGAGAGGUAACACGUUUGGGAGUUGAUUAGCCCAUGAGGCCACUGCCCACAUGAAAAGAUUAAUGGCGUUUUUGUGGGAGUUGCAUUCCUAAUGAAUGAAUUUGGGCCCCUUCCUCUUUUGUUCUCAUCUCACCUGCAAAAAUUCUUGCGUUUCUGCCUUCCACCAUGGAAUGAUAUAGUAAGAAGCCCCUAGCCAGAUAUGGGCACCUUGAUCUUGGACUUCUCAGCCUCCAGAACCGCAGAAAAGAACUUUCUGUUCUUUAUAAAUUAACCAAUCUCAGCUAUUCGGUUGUAGCAGCAAAAAACAGAUUAAGACAAGGAGAAAGUUCUUUCUUCUCUUGCUGCUGAUGCAAUUCCAGCACUGCUCAGCUUGAGAGGCAAGAAUGAGCCUGUCCUUCCUACCUGUUUUGUUUUCCAAAGUUAGGAAUGUCCAUCAACUGACUCCUUACCUUUACAUUUUUGCCCUUUUUGGCAGUUGUGAUGGAUAUGAGUGUGGAGGACUAGCAUGUGCAAAAUUUUUCUUCUUGCCUGGAUGCCUUAAUGUAUUUACCUUAAAAUUUUGGAAGAAAAUAAAGAUUGAAACCAGAUUAAAAGCACAUGUUUAUAAAUAAUUUAGGCCUACAUACACAAAUACUGUGAACAAUUAAUGGGUUUUCAAACAACUUAAUUUUGCAAAGGAGAUGGUAAGAGGUUGAAAAGCCUUUAUGUAUAUACGAGCCGCAUUUCCUCUUUCCCAAGCUCUUGUCAUCUGUUUCUGUGCGUUUUCACUGACUGUUAAAGGCAACAUGUUUUUCCCUCUCUGUCUGGGUAUUCUGUAUCUGUGUGCCAUCUGCCGUGUCUGACAUUAUUUCUGGAUAAAUAUACUCUUUGUUUUAGUGAGUUCCCUACCUUAUUUCAGUGGUAGAGUCCAGUUCUGCUUGGGCUCUAGGAUUUAAAAAGCCUGCUUUAUGCAGUGUUAUGAUACUUCUUCUCUAACAUCAAUCUGCAUUCUGCCAUCCACAGCCCAGGGAAACUGCAGUAGAGUAAUUAGCAGUAUCCGAAUUACAAUUUUACCAAGAAGGCACAAAGGGGCAAGAGCCGAGGGCAACAAGAGGAUGAUUAAGUUUUAUCAGUAGUUUUUAAACUUUCCUUUUCUACUGUUCAUAAAUACAUUUAGAUUAUCAAGGACAUUUACUUAAAAGAAAUACAAAUCAGUUCUUAUCUUACCAAUUAAAACAAUUUUUUAAAUUUUGAUCUUUGAAGAUGUCACUUUUUCUUUAGUAAGUAGUAAAGCUUUGUACCCAGAAAUGUUCCUCAUCAAUGCAAUUUGAUAACAUCCAGUGAAUUAAGACACCAAAGUACUUAGCAUGAUUAAACUGCUGAUAAAUGUGUAUUCUUGAAUUCAUCAAGAAGCAUUGUCAUAUUAUAUUAUAGAUUUUUUUUUCUCAACUUGAUGUGGACUGUUUUGGUUACUUUUUUUGUUUUAAUUCUGUUAAAAGGCAGCUAACUAAAUAUUGAACUUAAAAUGAGAAUCAUUUUUUUCCAAACAAAUUUAAGUAAAUAACUUGUGUUAAUUUGCUUUGCUUAUGAGAGAACUACUCAAGACAAAAGUAGAUAGUAGUCUUGAAUUUAUAAGUAAUUCAACUUUCUUUUAUCCAGAAUGCACUCUCUUUGGAAGGUGUUGCAUUUAGUUGACUUGCUUUUGUUACAUACCUGUCAUACAUUUGCUAUUUUUGUUAUUUUUGCUCCAAUAUAUAUUAAAAUGUUUUUUUAAAUUUAAAUCCAUUUAUAGGAUUUACAAUGAAACUCUAGAGUAUUUUAACCUUUUUGUCCUGCUGGAGAAAAAAAUAGUACAUUAUGUGUUUUCUUAUAUACCCACAAACCAGUGGGUUCAGAAAUAUUCAAUUAUACCUGUGAAGAGAAAAUAGAAAAAAAAUGGGAAAUAUGUGUAGUAAAAAUUUGGAUGAGCAGACUUUUAAAAACAGCAUAUUAAAUUGGAGAUGUACAAC
Gorilla gorilla gorilla (western lowland gorilla) is the source of this 3159-nucleotide long non-coding RNA. RefSeq lists it as uncharacterized. The transcript has 3 exons. Lineage: Eukaryota; Metazoa; Chordata; Mammalia; Primates; Hominidae. The record is from RefSeq and is a predicted model, not a curated record.